This 1372-nucleotide ribosomal RNA is filed under the name uncultured bacterium. Its description in RNAcentral is "bacterial SSU rRNA". It matches the Rfam family "Bacterial small subunit ribosomal RNA", at positions 28 to 1381 of the family's 1533-position model. The record is from RNAcentral.
GAUGAACGCUGGCGGCGUGCCUAAUACAUGCAAGUCGAGCGAACGGACGAGAAGCUUGCUUCUCUGAUGUUAGCGGCGGACGGGUGAGUAACACGUGGAUAACCUACCUAUAAGACUGGGAUAACUUCGGGAAACCGGAGCUAAUACCGGAUAAUAUUUUGAACCGCAUGGUUCAAAAGUGAAAGACGGUCUUGCUGUCACUUAUAGAUGGAUCCGCGCUGCAUUAGCUAGUUGGUAAGGUAACGGCUUACCAAGGCAACGAUGCAUAGCCGACCUGAGAGGGUGAUCGGCCACACUGGAACUGAGACACGGUCCAGACUCCUACGUGAGGCAGCAGUAGGGAAUCUUCCGCAAUGGGCGAAAGCCUGACGGAGCAACGCCGCGUGAGUGAUGAAGGUCUUCGGAUCGUAAAACUCUGUUAUUAGGGAAGAACAUAUGUGUAAGUAACUGUGCACAUCUUGACGGUACCUAAUCAGAAAGCCACGGCUAACUACGUGCUAGCAGCCGCGGUAAUACGUAGGUGGCAAGCGUUAUCCGGGAUUAUUGGGCGUAAAGCGCGCGUAGGCGGUUUUUUAAGUCUGAUGUGAAAGCCCACGGCUCAACCGUGGAGGGUCAUUGGAAACUGGAAAACUUGAGUGCAGAAGAGGAAAGUGGAAUUCCAUGUGUAGCGGUGAAAUGCGCAGAGAUAUGGAGGGACACCAGUGGCGAAGGCGACUUUCUGGUCUGUAACUGACGCUGAUGUGCGAAAGCGUGGGGAUCAAACAGGAUUAGAUACCCUGGUAGUCCACGCCGUAAACGAUGAGUGCUAAGUGUUAGGGGGUUUCCGCCCCUUAGUGCUGCAGCUAACGCAUUAAGCACUCCGCCUGGGGAGUACGACCGCAAGGUUGAAACUCAAAGGAAUUGACGGGGACCCGCACAAGCGGUGGAGCAUGUGGUUUAAUUCGAAGCAACGCGAAGAACCUUACCAAAUCUUGACAUCCUCUGACAACUCUAGAGAUAGAGCCUUCCCCUUCGGGGGACAAAGUGACAGGUGGUGCAUGGUUGUCGUCAGCUCGUGUCGUGAGAUGUUGGGUUAAGUCCCGCAACGAGCGCAACCCUUAAGCUUAGUUGCCAUCAUUAAGUUGGGCACUCUAAGUUGACUGCCGGUGACAAACCGGAGGAAGGUGGGGAUGACGUCAAAUCAUCAUGCCCCUUAUGAUUUGGGCUACACACGUGCUACAAUGGACAAUACAAAGGGCAGCGAAACCGCGAGGUCAAGCAAAUCCCAUAAAGUUGUUCUCAGUUCGGAUUGUAGUCUGCAACUCGACUACAUGAAGCUGGAAUCGCUAGUAAUCGUAGAUCAGCAUGCUACGGUGAAUACGUUCCCGGGUCU